Molecule: long non-coding RNA, 40961 nt
Filed under: Zea mays
Lineage: Eukaryota; Viridiplantae; Streptophyta; Magnoliopsida; Poales; Poaceae
Description: long non-coding RNA (ZMAY_LNC004321)
Source: RNAcentral
GGAUUUUCAAUAUGAAAGAAAUUCUACUAAACAUCCAAAAAUCAAAUAUGAGCAAACAAAAUUACUCUAAAUCCAAAUAAAAAUCAAACACUUGAAAGAAAAAUUCAUUACCAUAUUUACCAUUAAUAAUCUUAAUGCAUUAUUUUUAGUUGAUGGUUUUGGUAGUGUUACAAACCUACCCCCUUAAAAGAAUCUCGUACUCAAGAUUAAGGAACUUUUGAGAAUAACUGGGGUAAUUCUGCUCUGAGUUCAUCUUCUCUUUCCCAAGUGGUCUCAUCUUCCGAAUGAUGACUCUACUGAACUUUACACAUGUUGAUAACUUUACUCCGUGUAAUUCUGUGAGAUGUUUCCAAAAUUCUGAUAGGGUACUCCGAAUAAGUCAAAUCCUCCUUAACAUUGAGUUCUUCCAUAGGUAAUUGUUCUUCAGGUACUCUUAAGCAUUUCUUAAGCUGUGACACAUGAAAUACAUCAUGCACAUCCGACAAACUAUUGGGUAGCUCUAAAUGGUACGCUACUUCACCUUUUAUUCUCAAUAUUUUCAAUGGGCCAAUGUAACGAGGAGAUAAUUUACCAUUAACCUUAAACCUUUUCAUGCCUCUCAUCGGUGAAACUUUAAGGUAUACGAAGUCUCCUACUUCAAAGAUCAACCCUUUUCUUCUAUUGUCAGCAUAGCUUUUCUAUCUCGACUGUGCUGUUUUCAAAUUCUCUCUGAUAAUUUGUACUUGCUUUUUUGCCUCUUGGAGAAUUUCUGGACCAAAUACUUGACUUUCUCUAGUCUGAUUCCAAUAAAGCGGUGUUCUACACUUUCGUCCAUAAAGUGCUUCAAACGGUGCCAUUUAUAGACUUGCCUGGUAACUAUUGUUGUUCGAGAAUUCUGCAUAAGGCAAACUUUUAUCCCAGCUUCUCCAUGCUUUAGAGCGCAAGCUCUUAACAUAUCUUCUGUUGGGGGCCUUCGUCUUCCGAAGGUCCUCAAAAACACGACUAACAUGUCUUCAAGUAUAAUAUACUGUCAUAGGAAGCUUUGGCUUUGAGAUGAAGGCAUACAUGGUUUGAAAGGCGCAACCUGGAAGAAGGAUGAACCAGUUCCGAAGCUGUGGAUGAAGGAGCUUCGGCUUACCGCAAAGACGACGAUGGAGAAUGAAACCGACUUAAAAGGGAAAAGGCAGCUUAGCCCUCGACAAUUUACUUUUUAGCUAAUAGUAAAUGUCAGGGACAUAAAUGUAAUUUUACCCAGGCUGCGUCAUGUGCCUAUAAAUAGAUGAACAGUAACACCGUACUGUUCACGCUGACUUGUAAUCACUCGCACGUCACUCUUGGAUUCUUACCUUCUGUCAAGCUGAAGGUACAAAUGUAAUUCAUUAUUAUUAAUGUUUGUUUAUGAUCAUACAAUGAGAAUAUAGAUGAUCUAAAGAUUUGAUAUGAAUAUUCAUGUUCCUUAUAUGUCCCAUAUAUUUUUGCUCUCUAUUAUUAUAUAUUGAGAUGAUGAAGGUUUGUCCUUCAUGACCUUCGUCUGAAGAUCAUUAUAUCCUAAGGGAGAUAAUGCUUCGACGGACGAAGUUCUUUAACCAUUAACAUUUGUGUUGCCUUGUUCUUAACUCAUAGCAUUUGAGGACAAGUGACCAACAUUGGCGCCCACCUCCGGUGAACUCAUUUGACCACCUUCGACAAGCUGUGACCUUCGUCAUGCCGCCGAAGAAGUCUUCACGGCUAGGGGCUGCACUGCAGCCACUGGACGUCAAUCAGGAAACAUUACAUGAAGCUAGGAGCCAAAAAAGGAAGGCUACCAGUCCGACACCUCAGGAGCAGGAGUUGGACCAAGAGAUCAGAGACCUCGAAGCUAUUCAUCAAUAGGUCCAGAGGAAGAAGGAAAAGAUGCUUCGUCUCGCCGAUCUUCAGAAGAAGAUUGAUGAGGCCGCUGAGGAAAUGUGUCAUAUCACCCAAGAUGACCAAGACCGAAGGCCUCAAUACAGAGACCUUCGUCAUGACAAUUCGUUCAAUGAUGAUGAAUGGUAUGAUGAUUUCCAUCAUGGCAAUUUUGCUUUUGAUGAUGCAUCUCCUCUAGCAGCAGAAUUGCAGGCUACCCCAUGGCCCCCGUCUUACAAGCCACCCUAGCUCCCUAUGUAUAAUGGGCACUCAGACCCGAAGCAGUUUCUAAUGAGUUAUGAGGCAACCAUAUCUUCUUAUGGGGGCAACACUGCAGUCAUGGCGAAAUCCUUCGUCAUGGCAGUCAAAAGUGUUGCACAAACUUGACACUCUUCUUUCCGGCCAGGGACAAUCACAUAAUGGCAGAAGCUUAAAGAUAUGCUAAUCACUGGCUUCCAAGGAUUUCAAAUGAAGCCAGUCAUUGCUAAGGCUUUGUUCCAGGGCACACAAGACCAUGAGGAGUACCUUCAGGCGUAUGUCCGAAGGUUCCUGCGUCUGAGAGCACAAGCGCCUACAGUGCCUAAUGAGAUUAUCAUUGAGGCCAUGAUCAAAGGGCUUCGGCCAGGACCUAAGGCUCUGUAUUUUGCCAGGAAACCCCCACAAACCCUAGAGAAGCUUCUUAAGAAGAUGGAUGAAUACAUUCGGGCUGAUAAUGAUUUCCGCUAGAGAAGGGAAGAAGCCUACAGGUUUUCAGAGAUGACUAGGGGCUUCGGAGGAAGAAUCCACCCCAGGCAUGUCAGAUCAAUCCAUAAUUCCAGCCUAAGUGAUGACAGAGGAAGCUAGCCUCAAAGGCCACAACACAUCUCCCAAUCUUUAGGGCAACAUCAAAGCUCUUUCAGGCCACCAGCCCUAAGGGGCAGAGGCGGCAGGGGCUUCGGAGGAAGGUAUGGGGAUCAACCUAGAAGGCUAUAUUGCUUAUUCUGUGGAGAAGAUAAGGGCCACAACACAAGAACAUGUCAAGUCACAAUACAGAAGCAAAAGGAGAUUGCCGAAGCUGAAGAGCGGAAGAAUCAGUCGAAGCAGGUUUUACAUACUGCUUCAUGCUACUCUCCCUAUGUACCAGAGUACGUAGGCAACCAACAACCUUUGGCUUCUGUCGCUUAGGCAAGUCACUCUCAAGCUUCCUAGGCCCAACUCCCAUUACCACCACCAUUACCACCCACUCAGACCCGAAGCCAGCAGCCAGAAGGGCACCAACACGCACAGCAGCAUCGUGAUUUUCGGGAGGAAUCCGAAGCUCACACAGUCAACAACACUGUGCCAGAAUCCAAGCAUAUCUAUCAAAGAGUAUCCUGUUCUUGACGUAUCUUUACCUUUUAUGCCAUUUUAAUUUCUGUAACAAUUGUGACUGUAUCAAUGAGUAAAAUAUGUCUUAAACAAAUUUAUGAAGCUACAGAAGUCAUUCCUAAGGGAGCACGGAGUAAGUUCCGAAGCUACAAAAGUCGUUCCUAAGGGAGCGCAGAGUAAGUUCCGAAGCUACAAAAGUCGUUCCUAAGGGAGCACAGAGUAAGUUUUCUAAGCUCAGAAGUCGUUCCUAAGGGGAUGAAGAGCUAAUAAUUCCACCAAAAUAGAAGGUGAAGAAGCUCCAAAGUCGUUCCUAAGGGGAUGCAGAGCAUAAAUACCACCGAAAUAUAAGGUGAAGAAGCUCCAAAGUCGUUCCUAAGGGGAUGCAGAGCUUAAAGACUCCAAAGACGUCCAUAAGGGGAUGCAGAGUCUUGUGUGUUCCAGUGUGGGCGCGUGCGUGUGUGUGAUCGACAUCACCAUCAUUUUGCAUCAUAUCAUUCCGCAUAACAUUACAUCAUACAUCAUAUCGCAUCAACAACAAAAAGAUUGGAUACGAAGCAAAUCUUCGGCAAUACUUUGUUAAAUGAAAAUGUGCUGAGGCACGAAGCAAACUUCGGCAAACACAAUUUUAUCAGAUUAGCCAUAGAAGGGGCUUCUUUCUUUACGAAGCAUGAAAAGAAGGAAAGGUGUUUUUCGCCGAAGGCUCAAAAAUGGUAUGUGCGUAAAUUUCAUGCAUCGUAAAGAAAUAUAUUACAACAAUUUACAUGUCUGAUUAAUUGUUCAAAUACACUAAAUGUUACGUAGUAUCAUUACAAUAAAGUUUAAUCUUCCUUAAGUAUUUUCUCUGUGGCUUCGUUCAGCAGCUUGUCACGACUUCGUCGAUGAUGGAGUUAGCAACACUCACUAUAUCCAGUGUUUCUUUCAUGACCGGAUCAGCUAGAGGGUUGUAUGGCUCGGGCAUCGGUGACAGUUCAGCUGUAAUAGACAAAAUGUUAGUUCGAAGCUAUAAAAUAAACGCCGAAGCUAAAAUUCAAAAACAAUACCUAUGCGCCUUUCGUGUUCAGCAGCUUCUUCGGCUCGCCUAGCUUCUUCUCGGGCUUCAUGGGUUUCUUUUUCAUUCUUCUUUAUGAUUUCAUUGGCUAAUUCCCGGCCACCAUUCACCUAGACAUCGGAAUAAAAUUUUCUGCCCACCAAAGUAGCUUCGCCCGAAGGGUCUUUCGUGUCGUCUGUGGAGAAGGUGGCUUCAGCCUGGGCCACAACUUUAACGUGGUCGCAACCAGCCUUCUCCAGAAUUGCCGCAAUACCUCGAGUGCUAGUAAAAGGACAGAUAUCCCCACGAUCGCUCAGGAUCUCUUCAAAAGCUUCGGCUUCUCCGCUUAUCCAAUCAAUAAUGCCCUCGGGGUCGCCUCGAAUGAAGUUCUCCUUGGAAGAAUAAGCACCAACUUUGGCAAAACUAGUUUUCAAUUUUUUCACGCAAUCCAAGGAUUUCUCGAAGCACCUUUCCUUGGAUUCACGAAGCUCCUCGACAUUUUUCUCUAGCCUAGUUUUCAACCAUUCACUAAUUUCUUGACUAGCUUUGGCAACUGCAAAGUUCUCAUUGGCUUCGGCAAGUUUUUUUGAAGGUCUUCAAUUUUGGCUUCAUAAGCUUCGGAUUGAGUGUUAAAUUUCGCUUCGUCUUCCUUCACUUUAUCCACCAACAAUGAAAGUAGAAUUUUGUCCUUCUCCAAGGCUUCGUUUCUCAACGUAAUGACUUCUGAUCAAAGGUUGUUGAGAGCUAUCGUGCAGCUUUCAUCUUCGGCAUUCUUUUGCGCCCUCAGGGCGUUGCUAAGGAUUAAGCCCUGCAAGAAAGAAAAAAGGAUUAGCAUGAGAAUAAAAGACUUUAUUUCCAAGUCCAUAGACUUUAAGUUCACAAUUUUUGUACCUUCAGACUGUUGUAUGCAAGGCUGUCCACAAGGUUAUCCUUCGACAUGGCGGAGAAGCCAACCUCGAGCUUCGGAAAUCCCAUACUUUUGGCCAUCUCCUGGCAGACAGAUAUUUCUUUGUUGUCCGGGAGACAGUAUAAGAAAUCAUCUUCGUCUAUACCAUUGAACACUAAGGCCCCCUUCGGAUAUUUCAGUUCCCGGGCAUAGUGUUUGGCUUCUGCAAUCCCCUCUUCAGAUAGUCUUUUUCUCGAAGCAUGUCGAAUAAUAAAAUCAAGAUUUUCAGACAGUACAUCGAGAGAAGGAGAUUUAGCUUCUUCGGCCACUUCCUUCUCCAUAGCUAUGCCAAUAUCUGGAUAUUCUUGCUCAGCCCUUUCCUAAGUUAUGGCAGGCUUUGUCUCAGCAGGCACUGAAGGCCCAGCUUCGUUUCAGUAUGAGCCACAACAGCUUUGGCAAACUUUUUUACAGAAGUAGGAGUCAAUGCUCUUGUUGUCUCCAUGAUGGCGUCUCACACGCUGGCCAUUCUUCUCCUCUUGGGAGUUGUGGCGGGAGCUUUUGCAACCUUCGCCAAUUCUGCUUCUACCGGCGGGCUUAGAAUUUCUGGCAGCACUAUUAUUUUUUCUAACUCUGGCUUUUUGGCCGCCCCAUCUUCGGCUUCGACUAGCUCAACUAUAGACACCUUCCACACUAUAGUCAAUUCCUUAGCGCUCUGAGCGGCGGGAGCAGCUUGUUUCGCUUCGGCAGCGGAAGAUGUCUCUUCACCAAAUUUUGGCACUAUGGUCGUUUCAAUAUAUCUUGGCCGGUGGGUCAAAACCUUGAUUUUCUUGUCCUUCAGCACAACAGAGAUGGCCAAAGUGACAGUUUUCCUCUUUUCCCUGCUUUCACGAGGGAUAGCAAUAAUUAGGAUAUAUAAAACCAAUUGCAUCGAAAACCCUGUUCAACCUUUUCAUGCCUCAACCCCCGAAUGCUGAGGACAAAGCAUCAUCUUUGGCUCUGGUAUAUGCCCCAAGUAACUCGUCGCUAGUAGCCUCAAUGCAUUUCAGCCAGUCGUCAUUUCGUUCGUCAAACCGGUCUCUGUAUCUGAAGGUAUAUUUCAAAUGAAUUAAUCCACCUUGACUGGACCUGCCAGCAGUAUCCUUCGGCAUCUCCCAGUUAUCCUCAAGUGGCCAUACCCUGUAGGCUAUGUGCUCUUGGAUCAGGUCUCUUGUACCAAUGAAAGAACAGACAUUGCUGAAAGCCUUUUGACAUGCUUUGGCAUCAUUUUCAAUCACCACGGUCAGCCUUCGAAGGCCAAAGCGAGACUAGAUGGGGCAUUGGAUAAUCCCCUUUAUGUCCUCCCUUUCAAUCAAAUUAUUCUUAACAUAAAACCAUUCCUCCAUCCAGGACCCAGGCCACCUUUUCUGAAAUGGUGGAACUGGGUAACUUGCAUUAGAACGAGCACUAAAUCCAUAACAACCAAAGUUGUUGUGAUACUGCACUUUUCGAGUGGCCUUCGUCUCGUACAAUAGUUCGUGCAUAUUGCAAAAACACUUCACGCUCGGUUCCAGCCCUUGGCUUCUCACAGCCCAAACAAACAAACCCAUUCUAAUUAUAGCUUCAGGAGUAAUUUGAUGAAGAAAGAUCUGAAAUAUCUUCAACACUUCAACCACAAAUUUGCUCAAUGGGAACCGAAGACCCGCCUUCAUAAAGCUUUUGUACACAACAACCUCAUUUUCUUCAGGAGCAGGGGCAGUGUUGUCCCCUCCAACCCUAACAAUAGACAGGUCACGAAAGUAUCUUCCCUUCAUGGCGUCAAUUUGACUUUGUUUAAUGGUCGACUUUCUGAAGAUGGUAUGGCUUGGCCGCCAGGGCCGGUCUUCAGAAUCUUCAUCCCCACUUUCCACAUCAUAGUCAUCGCUAUCAUCAGAAUCUUUAGACAAAUCCGCCAUUAUUUCUUUUGUAAUCUUCUCUGUAUUUGUUUUUGCCAUAGAUUCAUAAAACCCAGCAAGAAAAGGGUCCACAACCUUCUUCUCUUCAGACAUAUUCUUGUCUUCAGACAUGCAACAAGCACUUGUGUAUAUCAUGAAGCUCGAAAACCAAGCGAGAGCUGAUAGAAAGAGAAUUAAAAUUUGAGAAAAUAACGCAAACAACCGAAAUGGCGUGACAAAUGCUGUCGCUGUGGGUUUCUAUUUAUAUGCCUAGUGCAUUGCAACUUGGCGGGCCCCAUUUGUCAUUAACUUUCGCUAUUCUAGCGAAGGGAAGGUGUUUUUUCGGACCUUCGGCCAAAGGCCUUCGUUCACGUCGUAGUCUGAAUUUGUUAGAUACAACAAAUUAAUACUGCGAGGGGCUACUGUUGGGGCCCUUCGUCUUGGGAAGGUCCUCAAAAACACGACUAACAUGUCUUCAAGUAUAAUAUACUGUCACAGGAAGCUUCGGCUUUGAGAUGAAGGCAUACAUGGUUUGAAAGGCGCAACCUGGAAGAAGGAUGAACCAGUUCCAAAGCUAUGGACGAAGGAGCUUUGGCUUAGCGCAAAGACGACGAUGGAGAAUGAAACCGACUUAAAAGGGAAAAGACAGCUUAGCCCUUGACAACUUACUUUUUAGCUAAUGGUAAAUGUCAGGGACAUAAAUGUAAUUUUUCCUAGGCUGCGUCUUGCGCCUAUAAAUAGAUGAACAGUAACACCGUACUGUUCACGCUGACUUGUAAUCACUCGCACGUCGCUCUUGGAUUAUUACCUUCUGUCAAGCCGAAGGUACAAAUGUAAUUCGAUAUUAUCAAUGUUUGUUUAUGAUCAUAUAAUGAGAAUAUAGAUGAUCUAAAGAUUUGAUAUGAUUAUUCAUGUUCCUUAUAUGUCCCAUAUAUUUUUGCUCUCUAAUAUUAUAUAUGGAGAUGAUGAAGGUUUGUCCUUCAUGACCUUCGCCUGAAGAUCAUUAUAUCCUAAGGGAGAUAAUGCUUCAAAGGACGAAGGUCUUUAACCAUUAACAUUUGUGUUGCCUUGUUCUUAACUCAUAGCAUUUGAGGACAAGUGACCAACAUCUUCCAACACUUGGUUUGCUCUUUCAGUUUGCCCAUCUGUUUGAGGAUGAUAAGGUGAACUAAAGUUUAGCUUGGUAUCCAUGGACUCAUGUAGUCUUUUCCAAAAGCGCGAGGUAAAUUGGGUUCCUCGAUCUGAUACGAUCUUCUUUGGUACUCCAUGCAGACAAACAAUCCUUUACAUGUAUAACUCUGCUAACUGGGCUCCUAAGUAAGUUGUCUUCACAGGUAUAAUGUGUGCCACUUUAGUCAACCUGUCCACUAUAACCCAUAUUGAAUCAUAGCCAUCCCGAGUAUGGGGUAGUACAACUAUGAAAUCCAUAUUGAUUUCUUCCCAUUUCCAUUCCGGUACCUUGAGAGGUUGUAGCAAUCCUGCUGGUCUUUGGUGCUCGGCUUUAACUCGUUGACACACGUCACAUAGUGCAACAUGAGUAGCCACAUCUCUUUUCAAACCAUACCACCAAUACUUUUCCUUUAGGUCCUGGUACAUCUUAGUACUUCUAGGGUGAGUAGAAUAAGCUGAAUCAUGAGCUUUUCUUAAGAUAUGUUGGCGUAGGUGCUCAAUCUCUGCUACACAGAUUCUCUUUUUAAACCAUAUUGUGCCUUGUUCAUCUUCUGUGAAAUCUGGGGCUUUUCCCAAACUAAUUUGUGUCAUAAUUUCUUUGAUUUUCUCAUCAGACUCUUGUCCUUUAUGAAUUUCUUCUUCCAAAGUAGAUUCAACUUCCAUAACUAUUGCUUCCAUAUUAUUGAGCAUUCCAAGGUUGAGUUGUUCCAUUUCCCAACAUAAUUCAUGUGACAUCAAAUGAGUAGUGAUGUUGUUCACUUGACCUUUACGGCUCAAAGCAUCUGCCACUACAUUUGCUUUUCCUGGGUGAUAUUGUAUUUCCAAAUCAUAGUCUUUGAUUAACUCAAGCCAUCUUCUUUGUCUUAGGUUGAGUUCUUUCUGCGUGAAGAUGUAUUUCAAGCUUUUAUGAUCCGUGAAGAUUUUACACUUGUUUCCAAUCAUGUAGUGCCUUCAAAUCUUCAAAGCGUGCACUACGGUAGCUAAUUCCAAAUCAUGUGUAGGAUAAUUCUUUUCAUGCUUCCGUAACUUCCUUGAAGCAUAGGCAAUCACUUUUCCUUCUUGCAUUAACACACAUCCAAGUCCUAAAUGUGAUGCAUCGCAAUACACAUCAAAUCCUUUAUGAAUAUCAGGCAUAAAUAACACUGGUGCAGUGGUUAGCCUUUCUUUUAGUUCCUCGAAACAUUUCUGAUAUGCUUCAUCCCACUUAAACUCUUUACCUUUCUCCAACAGUGAAGUAAGGGGUUUCACUAUUUUGGAGAAGCCUUCGAUAAAUCUUUUGUAGUAUCUUGCUAAUCCAAGAAAACUCCUGAUCUUGGACACAUCUGUGGGUUGUUUCCAAUUUAGUAUUUCACUUAUUUUACUGGAGUCUACCUUGAUUCAUCCAUUGGUGAUAAUAUGACCUAGGAAAGCAACUUCCUUCAGCCAGAAAUCACACUUUGGAAAUUUCGCAUACGACUGAUUGUCACAAAGUUUCUGUAGAACUAAUCUCAGAUGAUCUUCAUGUGCUUCUUUAUUCUGAGAGUAUACUAGUGUGUCGUCGAUGAAUACCACCACAAACUGGUCGAGGUAUUCCAUGAAUACUUUAUUCAUCAAGUUCAUAAAGUAAGUUGGUGCAUUAGUCAGUCCAAAAGACAUGACUUAAAACUCAUAUAAUCCAUAUCUUGUAGUGAAAGCUGUUUUAGGUAUAUCUUUGGUUCGAAUCUUCAACUGAUGAUAGCCUUAUCUUAGAUCUAUCUUUGAGAAUAUUGUAGCUCCUCUCAUCUGAUCAAACAGAUCUUGAAUCCGAGGUAAUGGGUACAUGUUCUUAAUCGUUACUUCGUUCAAGCUUCUAUAGUCGACGCACAUUCUCCUUGAACCAUCUUUCUUGUUCACAAAUAGAACUGGGGCUCCCCAUGGUGAUGAACUGGAGUGAAUAAAACCUUUUUCUAGUAAUUCUUCUAUUUGUUUCUUCAGUUCGAUUAAAUCUUUGACAUCCAUUUGGUAAGCUCUUUUUGAAAUUGGUGCGGUUCCGGGUAAUAGUUCAAUAGAAAACUCUAUAUCACGAUCAGGUGCCAUACCUGGUAAUUCUUCCGGAAAUACGCCUGGGUAUUCAUACACUAUUCUGAUGUGCUCCAAAGAUUUCUCUUCCAACUGAUUUACCAUUGCUUCUACUGUUGCUGGCAUACUGACAUUGACCUCAAUUCUUUCUCCUUGCGGACUGGUUAAUGUAACCAUCCUUUUGGCACAGGAUAUUACUCCAUCAUACUUGGUCAAGUAGUCUAUUCCAAGUAUCACAUCGAUUCCACUUGAUUCCAAAAUUAUCAGCUCUACUAGAAAGCUUAGGCCUCUAAUUUUGAUCUUAGUCUGAGGGCAUGAGUGAGUGGCUCUAAGUUCACCUCCUCGUGAUCGAAUUAAUAGUUUCUUCUUCAAGGGAUAGUUUGGUAUAUUAUGUUUUUCCACGAAUGACUUUGUUACUUAGGAGUGAGAUGCUCCAGAAUCAAAUAAAACUGAUGAUGGAGUUAAUAAGAAACAUACCAUACACCACGUCGGCAUACUCAAGAACUGAUUCUGUUGUCACAUGAUUGACUCUUCCCCUACUCUGGUUCUGUGGAGUUUUGUUCUGUGCAGAUCCACGAGCAGGUGUGUUCUAGUCAGUCCUCUAGUUGUUGUUCUUCUGGGGUGUCUGUUGAUAACGCCUUGGGCAGUUGUUGGCAUGGUGGCCAAGUUCACCACACUUGAAACAACCAUUAGGUUGGACUGGGGUAGUUGUGUUGUUGUUCUUGGUCGGUGUGUUCACGACGCUUCCUUGACAAUUCUGUGGUUGCCCACUAAACCUUUGACUGGUCUGAGUGCUGCUUCUCUGCUGGUUCUUCUAACACCCAGGUGUUACUUAGGGUUUCUUCUCAGUACUAAUCUCAAGAUCAUUAUCACAUGUAAAUCAAAUUUAGUAAAAGAUACCAAACUUGAGGAGCAAAAACUCAAUUAAGCCUUUUUAUCUCAAGGAUCAUGCCUUAACCAUAUCAUGCACCUCAAAGUGAGAUAAUGCCCAAACCCUAAAAUAACCCUAAUUAAGCUGUUCAAGUGCAAAAGGGGAAAUUUGUACAAAGGCAAUGAAAAAUAUGAAAUCAUGGCUUGGGCCAAUUAUAAAACUUGAAAUACACUAUUAAGCUACAAAAGUUAGUAAGGGAGUUUGGCCAAAAGAAUUUUUCAAAAUCCCCAAAAAGGCCAUUCAAGUGGAGGCUUUCUAGAGAAAUCUGAAAUUCAGAUUUCUGAAUUUCAGCCCCUAACCCAAACUCGAGCGCGUUCACCUUAAUCCCUAACUCAUAUCCCUGGGCUCCCAUUAGCAAAUUUGUGCUAAACUAAUCCUUCUACCAUAUAUCUGAAGAUGGCAUUGGGAUUUGGACCCUAGACACGACAAAAUCAAAGAUUUGCCUCGGGCUUGAGCUGUGAGACAGACCCUACUUGAGAGCUCCAUAUAUUUGUUACCAGUAGGCCAAAUCCUUUGACCCCCACACAUAAUCGGUAGCUUAUAGGAAGGGGAAGAGAAUUUGUGCACUGACCAAAGCAAGAGCAGGCUUGGAUGAGUGACUACUCGCGCUAGAACUCGGGCAGAAGAAACGCACACACGUUUUCGACCCUGGUCGACACGUCGGCGUUUGCCCAACCCGCGCGCGCGCUCGCCUCAGCGCACGAUCAAGUCCAUCGUGCGCCCUCCUUGCGCCCGCGCCUAUAAAGGCCAAUGGCCCCUGCUCAACCCUGCUUCAGCUUCGCACACUCACCGCCGACGAACUCCCCCGCCUGCGCACGAGGACCGACCAACUCCUGCCAUCUCCAACGCCGACCCGUACCUCGACGUGACCGCUGUAACCUCCCCGACCUCCCUGGACACCUCACCGGAGCUAGAUCGCCGCCGGUAAGCCCCACCACCCUUUUCUCCGCCACGGGUACUAUUCCAAUAGGGGUAGGACCGCGGGUUAGAUUUAGAUUUACCCCAGGGGGUUUUCUGCAUUGUCAGAUACACGGUUGAAUAGAAGCCUGAGGACCUAUUUGUAAGAGACGCAGGAAAAGUAUACUAAGGACCCUAGCGCAAAGUAGAUUUUCCUUUUCCAUUUGAAAUUCAAUUCUUUAAAUCUGUAGUAAAUUAGUUAAAUGCAUAACUUAAGGAAUACUCAUCCGAAUUUAGUCAAACAAAUUUUUUUAGGCUCUGUGAUUUAUGCACUAUCAAACAAAAAUAGUAAACCUCAUGUUCUCUGUACUAAUUUUUAGAGUUUUGAAUUAAAUAAGAAAACUGUCCAAACCUUAUUAAUACAGAGAAAAAUAGAAAUACUUCUAUACUAGAACGGAGAAAUUAUAGAGACACUUACCUAGCAUAUACACUGUUUAAAAAUAAUGAACACCCUAGUAUACAAAAAUGGACCAGAGAUAUCCAUUAAAGGCUAUUUAUGCCCAAAGUUUAGAAAAAUGAAAAAGGGGAUAGAAAAUAAAAACCAGAGGGUGACCAUAUUUUUCCUAGAAUGCCUAAGUGAUAUAGGUCACAUGAAAAAUAUAUUGAACCCUAGUCUAGUGCUAAUCUAAGAUUAUAAUUUUAUUUAGGCAUUAAGAAGUCAACAAAGGCCAUAGUCAAAAAUAUAUGGGCACAUGCAAUAUUGGCAAGAAAAAUUCAGUAGACCUCUAACCACUAGUAUACCACUGCAAAAAUGGUAAAACCCCAAACCAUCACAGUAAGUGGGUUAAACAAAUGAAACUUGGAUUUAGCUAAUACUUCAAAUAAAUCAAAAGAAAGACUAAAAAUGUGAAAUAGUGAGCAACCCAAAUUUUACCUAAAUACUUAUGAUGUAAACCACCAGAGAAAAAUAUGAAUCUAAGAUAGAAAUAUGAUGUAAUACACCCCAUGAAAAAGACCAUAUAUUCCAAGAAAUUCUACCACCCCUUCCCUUUGAGAAAAAUUAACCAACUUAUGGAAUGAUUGCUCUUGCGCAAAGAGGAAGAUAGAAAAUUAGGAAAUCUGUUGUUUGACAUUUUUCAAAUAUAGUAGUAGUAGAAAGCACCACUAGGCCCUAAAACUUUAGAAAAUCACCAUACAAUGACCAGUAGGUAUCAUUGGCUAAAAUUUGAUACAAAGUCUUAUUAUUACCCCUAGAUGGCAGCAAAAAUAAAACUUAGGGAAAAAUCCAAUGUUACAAGAGAGUUGUAGUUCAAAGCACCUCAUGUGCCCUAAAUUUUAAUAUUUUUGUAUAGAGCAAACCAUUAUCAUUUUAAGCCUCAAUUUUUAAGACUGAGUUAUGCAAAUCAGUGAGAAGCCAAUGUAAUUUUUACAGAUGUUUUAGAAAUUUUUGAAGCUAUGUUGUAGUUCAAACCUACUCUAAGAAGCAUAAAUAAAAAAGGGAAGAAGGGAUAAAUGAAGUAUUAAUGCCCUUCGUCCUUCGAAGCAUUAUUUCCCUUAGGAUAUAACGAUCUUUGGACGAAGGUUAUGAAGGACAUACCUUCAUAAGUAUGACACGUGUAAACAAAGGAUGAAGCUUAUAAAACACAGGAAAAUAACAUAAAUAAUGACAUAACAGCAUAAACAUUUAUUAUUGAGUAAUAAUGAAUACAUGAAAGCAAUAACAAAUUACAUUUGUACCUUGAGUGCGAUAGAAGGCAAAGGCAGAAGUGAAAAAUAUGAAAGCAUGAACAGUACGGGGGUACUGUUCACCUAUUUAUAGGCACAGGGCGCAACCUGUGUGAAUUUACAUUCAUAUCCUCUACAAAUGGUUACAAUCAUAACACAGGUUGUCAUGGGCCGAUUGGUCAUUUUAUCUUUAAGUCGGUGCAUCUGGAAAUACGCUACGAAGCUCCCUGACUGGUAGCUUCGGCAUUGUGUUCUAGCCUUCCGAAGGUGUUUCUUCUCACAAGACAUUCGGCGUCGAAGCAGACCCCCAACAGUAGCCCCUUCACGGUGCCAGAUCGUUUUUCGUAACGAGCUCGACCCGUGAAAAAUUCUUUUAGGCUUCAGAAUGCCGAAGGUCCGAAAAACACCUUCCCUGAGCUCGUUGUCGAGAAACGAUUUAAAUAUUCCCAAAGCGAGGUGGUCCCACCCCUGGGCGGGUACGCACGAUCUGGUGAUUCUUUUUCUCGCGCCCUGCGGUCCACCAUUCAGUGAAUGCGAGCGACUGUUCGGCGGGUGUUGGUAGCUUGAUGAUUCACCAUCCCACCUGCGGCACUAUAUAAACAGACGGGUAGGUGUGAAGUUACCACAGCAUUCAUUACUAUUGUACUGUUGUGCUGCUGAAAAAUUUGACCAUAGCCGAAGCUUAUUCUCCGUAUUCUCAAUCGAAGCAUCAUUUUGCUUUAGCUUCAUCAUAAGAGGGAGCUUUGGCAAAGAUAAAAAGUAAUCAACUUCGUCAAAACGCAAGAAAUUCAGCAUCAUAUGGCCAGGGUGCGCUCGACAGCUAGGAUAACCCAUGACAGAGAGGAGACUGAAGCUACUGAGACUGCCCCAAUCUCCGAAGUUAUGAGGCGGUCGGGACUGGUUGUGACGGAGGGCGCUUCUAACGAAGGUGCACCUACUACUGAAGCCGAGCAGGCAGAUAUUGAAGAGGGUGAUACUAGUGAAGAAGAGAUUGAUUAUAACACCACUAUGCCAUCCAAGCCCAGCCAUUUGGAUUUUGGGAAGUCGACUGUCUCCGAAGUUGAUAUGCCCAUGAUGACUAAGCUAGGCUACUUUGGGGAAGCCGAGAAGAAGUUGAUUCGCUUUGGUGGGGAAGAGACCAUCCCGAAACCAGAAAAUGAUGAAGUGGUAGUUUUUAAGAGCUUAUUCAAAGCAGGGUUGAGGUUUCCUCUGCACGGAAUGAUUGCAGAUGUGUUGGAAAAUUUUGAGAUUUAUCUUCAUCAGCUGACUCCUAACGCUAUCGUAAGGCUCAGUGUGUUUAUCUGGGCUCUUUGAAGCCAAGGAGUGGAGCCACUUGCCGAAGCCUUCUGCCGGGUACACGAACUUCACUAUCAGACGAAGGCUAGAGAAGAUGGACUGCAUGAGAACUUCGGCUGCUAUAAUUUUGCUUACCGCAAAGACAUGAAGACACCGGUGGUUAGCUACCGCACUAAGUGGCCGACCGGUUGGAAAACUGAAUGGUUUUACGUUAAAAUUGAUGAGAAAAUUGAGAAGCUAGUUCAGAGCCCGCUGGAGCUAACCUUCGGGUUGACUAGGCCUCAGUGCAACAUGACGCCGGGGGCAUCAUGCCCAGAUGCUGUGGGCGAAUAUAGAGUUGUAUCUGAACAUAUUGGUACCAGGGAUUUAGUUCAUGAAUACUUAGCCAACAGGGUAUUUCCAACGCUAAAGGAAUGGGGUAUGCCGAAGCUCAAAGGAGAGAAGAAGAAGAAUGAACUCGUUCGGCUGCCCUAUCAUUUUAAAUUCAAGAAACACUUCAAAGAACCCUCCCAAGAAUGGUUGGAUACAAUUUAAGUUAUGUGCAAUGAAAUCCUGGGUAAUUAUACGAAAAAAGAAGAUCAAUUGAUGAUUGCAGCCUUCAGCACCCGGCCGAAGCGAAGGUUGAAUCGGGUGAUGGAUGCCCUGAAUUUUGAAUAUCCUAACUAUGAGCGAUUGAACAAGGGCGCCGAAGGGCCAAAAAGAAAAAGAAAUGUUAGCAUUCUAGGCAGACAAGCUGCUAGAAUGGUGAAAGAAGAUGAAGAAAUUCUGAAGAGGAGAAAAACGAGCCCUGAGCCGAAGGUAGUUGCUCCAAAGAAAAGGAAAAAGCGACUGAUAUAGAUGAAGAGACUCCUUCCACACCUUCUUCUGCCAACAUGGAAGAAAUUCUAAAGGUAAUGACUGAAUCUUUGCCUAUCAAGCUAAGUCCACUGGGGCCACAUCUGAUGAAGCUUUUACAGAAGAAAAAGGAGCCCUCGACAGCGAAGAAGUCUGCUGGGCCGAAGAAACGGAGGAUUAUUACUGUGAUUGAAGCCAUUGAAGAAACACCACCGCUGGCCUUGGCGUCAAAAACACCAGCUGUCGAGAGCGCUACAGCUGCCGAAGCUGCGCCCACCGAAGCUGGAACUGUCGAAGCUUCAACGACCGAAGAUACAAAUCUAGAGAGCACAUUUUUUGAUAUUGAUAAAAUGCUUCUGAAUAUGGCCGCGGAAGAAGCUGCUACAGCCGCCGAAGAGACCCUGGCCACAGUGCCUAGAAAGGAAAAGGAGACAGCCGAAGAUACUUCGGAGGAAAAGGACUUCGAUUUCCAAAACAUUAUUGGUCAGGAGUUAUCUGAAGCUGAGAAGGAAGAGUUGAAAGAUUAUGCUAUAUCAUGUGGUUACAAACCAAGAGCGCUGCUCUUCGGCGGUAUUGACGAUGAAAGCUUAGGUUGUCUCCGAGAUUGAACUGGAGCGAAGGUUAUCAGUACUCUGUCGAAGAGUAUUGGUUUCCCGAAGCUUGAGGCUGAUAUCAGCCGCUACCGACGACAGCAUAUCGUCGGUAGUUUGUUCUAUUCUAAUUUCAAGGUAAAAACUUUUCUUCGGCUUUUCAUUGUUUUAACGACGAAGGAGUUUUCUGACGAAGGUUGUUUUUGUACAGAGUAUGCUAUUAAGUAAGGCUUUGAGGAUGCAACAAGACCUUGAAGACAAAAAACAUGAGGUUAUAAUUGAAGGUUUAGAGAGAAAAAUAAAAGAUCAUGCAGUUUCUCUUGAAAAGAAAGAUUUCGAACUUCAAACAGUGGAGGGUUUACUGGUAGAAACUGAAGCCAAAAUUGCAAAAUUGAAUAGUGAACUCCCCUCAAAAUCAGAAAGAUUCAAACAAGAAAAGCAGAAAUUUGAUGCGAAGUUUGAGGCUGAAGUCGAAAAGAGUUCAAAUUUGCAGAAAUCAUUGAAAGAGCUUCAAGAUAAAUGUCUAGACUUCGGCAACCGAUGCGUGCAGCGGCUAAAGCAGGUCUUCAACUCGGUUGGAGCCAGUUCUGAGAAAUUCAAUCCUUUGGUUGAAGACCUGCCAGGGACCGUCGAACACAUUGAGGGCGAAGUUGAUGCUCUUGAUGAAGUUAUAGCUGGACAUGGCGAUUUCUGUGCCCUGCUAGCUUCUCGGGGCACAACUAUUGCCUUCAUGAAAUCUGGUUGCAUGCAUGGGAAAAUUGUUAAUAGACCAAACUUCAGCUUAUCACCAGUAGAUUUAAUUGAUAUCCCCAGCCUGGCUCGAAGCAUAGGAAAUAGAUUCAUAACACAAAUCUGGACGAAAGGCGGGCGAAACUUGGCUUGCGACGAAGCUCAAAGCCACCUUAAACCGGUAAGAAAUUUGUGCCUGCUGCUUUACCUUCUCCUUGAAAUUUGCACUUUCCUCAUACCGCUUUGAUAUGUACAGGAUGACGAAGUUGUGGAACAGUGAGCCGAAGCUUGGUAGAUGAUCCGAAGCUUAAUGGAUGAUGAUGAAGCUGAAGACCUUGCUGCGAAAAAAAACUCUAGAACAAAUCUUGUAUUAUCCUUGUAAAAAAUAUGGUAAUUUAGGAAUCAGAUACUAUUUUGUAAAUUUGUCCAUACCUUGUAAUAUAUUUCCACCUUUUUGUCCAUGUGUGAACUGCUUUGAUGUGGACGAAAUUUGUAUUUUUUGAGCCGAAGGCGAAAAUCACCUUCCCUUCUUUUCGUACACAACGAAGCAUGAAACUUCUUCCUUUCUUUUCGCCGAAGCCUUAUCCUUAUAUCCGAAGCAACUGCCUGUGUCUGUAUGAUAUGAUGAUGAUGAUGAUCCUAUGUAUGUCUAAAUGAAUGUUUAUGAAUGCAAUGUAUGAUGUAAUGUGACGUGCAAAUGAAUGUCCAAACACACACAUACGAAGCCACAACCAUAACCUUCAUUCCCUUAGGAAUUGCUGAAGUAUCUUUGCCGCUUAUUUUUUGGCUUCACCACUUAUUUUUCGGUGUAAGUUCUGCAUCCCCUUAGGAACGUCUUUUGAACUUCUUCGCCUUCUAUUUCGGCAGUAUUCGUGUCGACUUUUCGCGCUUCGCCUUAUAUUUCGGCGGUAUUAGGCUCUACAUUCCCUUAGGAACGACUUUUGAGCAGAAAACUUACGCUGCGCUCCCUUAGGAACGGCUUUUUGUAGCUUCGUCGUGCUCUGCAUCCCCUUAGGGACGACUUUCGAGCUUCUCCCUGUUUUUUUUUCUCUCUCUGCACUCGAUGGUGCAUGCUCAGAUUUUACAUUUACAUAUUUUGGGAGAUUUUGCUCUUGUAGAGCUGAAUAAGAAAGGAAAAAUUACAAACUAUGGCCCCAUUAAAAACCUUUCUCCCCCUUUGGAAAGGAAAAGGGUGCCAUAGGAAAAAUGUAAAAGGUUACAUCAAUUUAUACAUAAUACCGUCGAAGCUCAUCCACAUUCCAAGAUCUAGGAAUGUCGUUGUCGUCCAUAUCCUUCAAUCUGUAAGAACCGGGCCUCGACGAAGAUACCACCAAAAAGGGGCCUUCCCACUUCAUCUGCAAUUUGCCUACUGUCUCCGGAUUAGCCACUCUUCGAAGCACCAAAUGCCCUGGCUUAAUGUUCUUCAACCGAACUUUUCUGUCAUGCCAUUUUAUUGUUUCGGCUUGGUAUUUAUUGAUAUUCUUCACAGCUUGAUGUCUGGUCCCUUCUAUAGUAUCUUUUGCUACAUGAUUACCAGCUUCGUCUUCUGCCGAAGUUGUUGUUCUUAUUGACCCUGCUUUAGCUUCUUUUGGGGUUAUGGCUUCAUCACCAAAUAAUAAUUUGAACGGUGUAAAACCUGUUGAUCUUGAUAUAGUUGUAUUGUGGCUCCACACCACUUUAAUCAACUCAUCUGGCCAUUUUCCUCUGGCUGAUUAAAGAUUAGCUUCAUUAUUCCCGUCAUUAUAAUGUCAUUUGCUCUUUCGACCAACCCAUUUGACUCCAAAUGCCUUACUGAUGCAAAAUGAAUCUUCGUGUCAAUUUGGUCACAGAAAUCCUUGAACGUUUCAGCAUAAAAUUGUGUUCCAUUAUCCACAGUUAUAGCCUUCGUCACGCCGAAGCGACAAACAAUAUUUUGCCAGAAAAAUUUCUGGACUGUAGCCAAAGUUAUUAUCGCCAAAGGCUUCGCUUCGAUCCACUUAGAAAAAUAUUCUACCGCCACCACGACAUAUUUCAAGUUACCCUGCGCUGGUGGAAGUGGACCUAGUAAAUCUAGGCCCCAUCUUUGCAAUGGCCAGGUUGGUUGUAUCAGUUGAGUCAAUGACGAAGGUUGCUUCUGAUCUCUUGCACAUUUUUUGCAAUUUUCGCAUUUUUGUACCAAAUCCGCUACGCCGAAGCUGCCUUCGGCCAAUAGAAUCCUUGUCGAAAAACCUUUCCCAGAAGAGGUCUGGACCCAAUAUGAUAUCCACACAAUUCUGCAUGUAUCUCCUUCAUCAGUUCUAUACCUUUGGUUCUAGAUAGACACUUGAGAAGUGGGGAACAAACUCCAUGUUUAUAUAACUCCCCUUCUAUUAUGACAUAUGGUCUUGUUCUUGCCUCCAUUCUUUUGUUAUAAACCUCAUCAUCUGAGAGACAGUUACCUUGGAGGAAAGAUAUAAUCUCAGUCCUCCAAUCUUCACUAUGGACAGGAGAUAUUAUGAGCACUACUCUUUCGAGAAGUUCCACCAAAGGUGCUCUUAUUUUCUCAAAAAAUACUUUCGAAGGUAGAGGGAGCCCCUGUGCUGCUGACUUGGCUAGUAGAUCAGCAUGCUCAUUUUCUCCUCGUGGAAUAUUCUUAACAGAAAACCCUUCGAAAGAAGCUUCAAGCCUUCGAACUGUGUCUAGGUAUUUCUCAAGCUUUGGAUCUCUUGCCUUGCAACUUUUGUCAACAUGACCAGAAAUAACUUGAGAGUCGGUUUUAAGGACCGCCCUUCUUAUCCCCAUUGCCUUUAACUUUCGAAGCCCCAAAAGUAAAGCUUCGUAUUCAGCAAUAUUAUUUGUACACCUAAAAUCAAGCCUUAUUGCAUAGCAUGUUCUGACUUUGAAAGGUGCAACUAAGACAGCAGUCGCACCUGCUCCGAAGGUUCCCCAGGAACCGUCGCAUAACACUAUCCAAGCUUCAGCAUCUUUAUUUGUUUCUUCUUCCUGAGCCCCUGGCGUCCAGUCAGCAAUGAAGUCUGCUAACACCUGGGACUGAAUUGAGGAUCUAUGCACAUAGUCAAUGCUGAAUUCGUUAAGUUCCGCAGCCCACUUUCCAAUCCUUCCAGUAGCUUCUCUGUUCCUCAUAAUAUCCUUCAGAGGUUGUGAUGAAGGAACAAUUAUAUGGAAUGCUUGAAAAUAAUGUCGAAGCUUCCUGGAGGCCAUUAAGACAGCAUACAACACCUUCUCCAAUUCUGUAUAGUUUUUCUUUGAUAAACUUAGAACUUCGGAGACAAAGUAUACUGGGGCUUGCUUUUUAAUUUGUCCUUCCAGUUUCUCCUGCACAAGCGCCACACUCACUGCAGAGUGCGAAGCUGCCACAUACAAUAGUAAUGGAGCCCCUGGCGCGGGUGGAGUUAAUGUUGUUAGAUCAAUCAAGUAUUGCUUCAACUCUUUGAAGGCUUUCUGUUGAGCUGGGCCCCAUUGAAAGACUUCGGCUGACUUUAGUAUUUCAAAGAAUGGCAAGUUUCUUUCUGCUGAUCUAGAUAUAAAUCUAUUCAAUGAAGCCAGUCUUCCUGCCAACCGUUUGGCCCCGUUCUUUGUGCUUGGCGGUUCCAUUCGAAGGAUAGCUUCGAUCUUGCUUGGGUUAGCUUCGAUCCCCUUCGUUGAAACUAGACAGCCAAGGAACUUACCCUUCUUCACUCCAAAGACACAUUUUUUAGGAUUUAAUAUCAGGCCAGCUUGCCUAAAAUUAGCAAAUGUUUCUUGCAGAUCAGUGAUAUGAUUUUCUUGCUUCGUGCUUUUUACUAUGAUAUCAUCAACGUAUGUUAGCACAUUUCUGCCUAUCUGAGAAUGAAGGACCUUGGCUUUCAUUCUACUGAAGCUUCCUCCAGCAUUCUUGAGCCCCUCAGGCAUCCAAAGAUAACAAUAGGUGCCGCUGGGAGUUAUGAAGCUGGUCUUCGGCUCAUCCUCCUUCUUCAUCCAUAUUUGAUGAUAUCCUGAGUAGCAAUCCAGCAGACUCAUAAGUUCUGAAGAAGCUGUUGCAUCUACAAGGGAGUCUAUCCUCGGUAAUGGAAAUUCGUCCUUGGGACAGGCCUUGUUGAGAUCCAUGAAAUCAAUACACAUUCUCCAUUUGCCAUUGGCCUUCUUUACCAUAACAGUAUUGGCUAGCCACUCUGGAUAUUUUACCUCUCUGAUAACACCAGCACUGAGAAGUCUUUUUACUUCAUUCCGAGCACCUUCGGCUUUAUCAUCAGACAUUUUCCGAAGCCUUUGCUUUCUUGGCCUGAAGGAUGGGUCGACAUUGAGUGAAUGUUCAAUGACGCCUCUGUUGACACCACAGAGAUCAUUGGCUGACCAAGCAAAAACAUCUUUGUUGUUGAAUAAAAACCUUAUCAAAGUUUUCUUCUGCUCUUCAGAUAGCUGAGACCCCAACAGUACCUUAUGCUCUGCUAUGUCUUCACAUAGAAGCAUAGGUUUCAGCUAAUUAGCCGAAGCAGCCUUCUCUCUUCUGUACUUGUACUGUUCACAAGCUUCAGUUCCAUCUAUAUUGUGGAUCGCUUUUGAGUCUGUCCAGUUUCCUUCGGCUUUUCUAGCAGCUGAACAGCAAUGGGCCCUUGUUCUGAAGGUAUCUUCAUGCAUAGAUAUGCUGGAUGAAGUAUUGCUUCGAAAGCAUUGAGUGUCCCACGACCAAUGAUUGCAUUGUAGGGAUAUUCCAUAUCAACGAUGUCAAACACAACAUGUUCAGUCCUUGUGUUGUGGACAAAGCCGAAGGUCACUGACAUCGUGAUUUUGUCGAGUGCUGCAAUUUGCCUUCCUCCGAAGCCACAAAGAGGGUGUGUAGCAUCAUGAAUCUUAUCCUCUGGCUCUUGCAUUUGUUUGAAGGCCUUAGCAAAUAUGAUAUCCGCUGCACUGGAUGUAUCAACCAGAACAUUGUGGACCAGAAAUCCCUUGAUGACACAAGAUGUCACACCCGGUUUUUAGAAGGCAAACCGAAUGCGAACCAUGUACGUGCCAGGAUCAGUUAUUCACGUACACAGCAGUUACAUAACAUGGACAUCAUCACAUAGUGCUCAAAAUAGUAUUAAAAGGGAAAUAAUAGUCGAUUACAUCAUACGUCUGAGACGUCCAUAUAGUCCUUACAAUAAAUCAAAGUGCGGAAAAGAAACGUAGAUAACCGCGGCCUCCACAGGCAGCCGACUGGGGGUUGCCGCUAACCCACGCCUAGAAUUCGUCGUAGUCUUGGAACUCCUGGAAGUCUCCUUCCACAGCUUCAUCUUCGCCUGAGCAGUGGUUGCAAUGCUGACAACCUGGGGAUGGGGGUGGUUUGGUGUGUAGAGCAAGGGUGAGUACACAUCAACAUACUCAGCAAGUAUCAUGUUUGGCUGUAGUGGACUAGCUUUAUGUGGGGAUAAGUCAAGCAGUUGCUUUUAGUUGGUCAGAUUAUUAUUUACUAAUAGAAAGCCAGGUUUUAGCAUUAACCCAAAUUAUUAGCCCGAUGUACCCUUUCCAAACGGAAAGAAUACCACUUACCAGCACCAUAGUCAUAACCAAAACCAUCGAUCUCAUAGCCACCUGUACCAUAAUAUCUCUGAUCAAGUACCACUAAUCACUGGAGCUCCCUUGGCCGCUCAUAACCGCGAGCACGGCUGAUAUAUCAGUUUUCAAACACUCUGCAGAGGUUGUGCACUUUACCCACAAGCCGUGAUUCCCUUUUUGCCUGGAGAUCAUGACUCUCCAUUGAUCACUACCAAGGUGACCCAGCAGGGCAUCACUACGUAGCCUUUACAAAGAUUCCCCGGGGCUGUAGCCACCCGUUAGGUUUCCUAAAUGCACUGCACUCCUCCCCAAGGGGCGAACCAAAACUUGGCAGAGCGAGCCGCAUACACCGAGCCCCAUUGACGGCACGACGGCUAAGUGAACUACGCCCCGGAUCCUCUAAUUAUUCAGCUAAGGGCAUCCCAUUCCACCCUCAUGGUUGCACUGUUUUCACGGGCGGUCAUCCAUAGAACAGGUCCUUACGGAGAGGCACUCGAGAAACCGCUCGAGCCCCCUUGAUGACCACAAGUACAACAUCAUAAUAAGAGAAGGGAAAACAGCGUAUCAUAGAUAAUCUCAUCAUGUUCAUUGAUUAAAGUUUGGGCAAUAGCAUAAAGCUAAACAAUAAUAAUCCAACCCAGAUAGGUAGACAAGGACAUGGAUAACAAAAGCUAGUCAAUCCUUAGGCAUAAAUGUGUAAUGCGGGAGGUGAAUUAAAGAAUGAAUAGGACAGAGAUAGGUCAAGGGACACUUGCCUCCACCAACCGACUGCUGCUCAGGGGCUUCUCCUGCGAGUUCCUCGGGCUCUUCGACCGGAUCGUUCUCUAUGCGAUUGCAAGCACACAUACAUUCAUCCAUUCAAAUUAGGAAACAAACAGUACACCAUACAAGAGAACAAAUAAAGUAAAUAUGCAUAAAGUAUGACAUUCGAUAUCGCAUUCGUUAAGGUUAGAAAGAAACGGGAAAAGGUCUCGCGGGGGGGGGGGGUUAAAGCUUAUGCACUAAUGAUUAGUUACAAUUGGUUCUAACAAAAGAAUUUAGUUAUAUGCACUAAUGGAAACCUAGUCAUUUUUAGUUGAUCAACAUUGAACUGGAUAAACAAUUGAUUAUAUGAAUUAAGUAGCGUAACGGAAUUCUAAAUUAAGUUUCCUAUUUCAAUAACAUGAACAAUGAUUAGCCUGCCUAAAAUAAAAUAAAUAACAAUAAUAAAAGAACAUAAAAUAAAAUAAAAUAAACAAUAAAUAAAUAAAAAAGGGGGGCGGUUGAACCGGCCAGGGGGCGGUUGAACCGGCCAGGGGGCGGUUGAACCGGCCUGGGGCAGGGGCGGCUGGGCAGGGCGUGGGUGCGGGGCGGCCGAGCUAGGGCGGCUGGGCGCGCAGGGGGGCGGCCGAGCUGGGGCGGCUGGGCGCGCAGGGGGGCGGCCGAGCUGGGGCGGCCGAGCGGUGGCUGGGCGCGCGGGCAGGGGCGGUUGGGCCGGGCGGCGGCCUGACCGGGGAGAGGGAGGGGAGGGGAGAGGGAAGGGAGAGGGAGGGGAGGGGAGAGGGAAGGGAGAGGGGAGGGCUCACCGGGGACGGGGACGGUGCGGCCGAGCUGCAGGGGGCGGCGGCUAGGGCAGGGGGCGGCGGCUAGAGAGAAAAUGGGAGAAAGGGAGGGAGAGAGAGGGAUUUGGGGGGAAGAGGGAGGGGCGGCUGUGCCAGCUGGGCCCAAAGGGGGCGCGCGGGGGGGCGGCUGGGCCGGCCAGGGGCGGCUGGGCCGGCCGAGGCGGCCCACGGCGCGGGAGAGAGAAAAAGGGAGGAGAGAGAGAAGGGAAAAGAGAAGGAAAAGAAAAGAAAAAGAGAAAAAAAAGGUUUUCUCCUUUUCGAAAUCCGAUCUUCCUAGAUGAAUGCACUUACAUUUUUAAGCAAUCGAAAGAAUGCAUGGUUCGGCAUGGUGUAUCAAACAACAUAAAGUAUUUUAAGGUUUUGCUUAACACGGGAAUUCCAAGCCGAACCCCGCUAAAACUUUGGAAAAGGUCAAGGUUUAGCGAGAGAACGAGAAAAGAAAAGAGUAACGCCUGAAUUUGGUGAGAGAAAAGAAGAAAAAAUUCUACCCCCAAAUUCAGGGCGUUACACAAGAUAUGACCAUAACAUCAUUAUGAGGGUAAUCCUUGAGCUGAAGGUCCUCCUAGGAGAAGGUGAUUGGGAUGUGGGACCAUUUUGACUUGAUGAAGGGUCCCUGCACCCCAACAUGUUGCACCCUUCUUUGAGCCUCCUUAUUCUGCUUCUUGUUGGCCGGUUCUGAGCAUGAACCGCCUGUUAUCGGGAGCACCAGCUUCGUAGCCGAAGCAACUUCAGCUUGAUUGUUGAACGAAGCCAUCAGCUCAAUAGUGGAAGUGAGUUCACCGGAGGUGGGCGCCAAUGUUGGGGACUUGUUCUCAAAUGCUAUGAAUUAAGAACAAGGCAACAUAAAAUGCUAAAUGUUAAUGCCCUUCGUCCUUCGAAGCAUUAUUUCCCUUAGGAUAUAACGAUCUUUGGACGAAGGUUAUGAAGGACAUACCUUCAUAGGUAUGACACGUGUAAACAAAGGAUGAAGCUUAUAAAACACAGGAAAAUAACAUAAAUAAUGACAUAACAGCAUAAACAUUUAUUAUUGAAUAAUAAUGGAUACAUGAAAGCAAUAACAAAUUACAUUUGUACCUUGAGUGCGACAGAAGGCAAAGGCAGAAGUGAAAAUAUGAAAGCGUGAACAGUACGGGGGUACUAUUCACCUAUUUAUAGGCACAGGGCACAGCCUGUGUGAAUUUACAUUCAUGUCCUCUACAAAUGGUUACAAUCAUAACACAGGUUGUCAUGGGCCGAUUGGUCAUUUCAUCUUUAAGUCGGUGCAUCUGGAAAUACGCUACGAAGCUCCCUGACUGGUAGCUUCGGCAUUGUGUUCUGGCCUUCCGAAGGUGUUUCUUCUCACAAGACCUUCGGCGUCGAAGCAGACCCCCAACAGUUAAGUCAUAAAUGCUUCAGUCAAGAACCUUAUUUAAUCAUCACUAGGACAUAGAGGGAUUGUUGAGUACAACCUUAAUCUAACUUCCUAGAUUGACCACACCUACUUCUAAUUGCCAUGUAUACCCCAAGAACCUCAAAUAAUGGAGCUAAAACCUGCCCUGCUAACUUAAGUACUUCACCUCGCAUUUCAAUUAUUAAUUUACAUACCAUGGCAUACAUAUCUCUUAUUCAAUGCAUUCAUUUAGAUUGCAACCUCGCUGACGGAGAGUACGUGCUCGUCCCUGAGCAAGGAGCUACCCAAGAGGAAGUCCAGGAGCUAGCUCCAGAGCCUGCCCCCGAGGAUCUUCCCGCAGCCUUAACUUUUGAAGGCAAGCCCCGAUUUUAUGCAUAACCAUUAUAUAUGCUACUUUACUACACUUAAUGUUUGUAGGUUUGUAAUGUGCACUUAAGUGUAGGAGUUGCUUGAAACCCUUAGUUGCAUGAAUUCAUGAUUCCUUUUUGAGACGUAUACUAGUAUGCUAGGUCGAGUAGCUGCUUUGCUAAAUAGGGAUCUCGGUAGAAGUCGAGCGAUUUUUCUAGCACUCUCGCGAGGUCAGACAUUGAUUGUAUUCAUCUUGAUAACAGGAUCUUUGAAGGUCUAUGGACUUGGAUCCAGGGUGGAUGCCUUGUCUAUGAGACGGAAAUGGAAUUAAGGAUUAAUGUGUGGAUACCUGAGUCAAGCGUUUGAAAGUACUAAACACAUGUCGGGAAAUAUGGUAACUGGUAAGCCUAGUACAUAUGUGAAGCCGGGCGUGGACUUUAUCCCUCACUUUUCUUGAGAUUGGGUCUCCCAUGCUAGCUAUGGUGGGUACAAGUGCGGUCACUGCACGGCGGCAGCCGGGGUUAGUGGAGCAUUGUAUGCCAAGGCGAUGGGCCCUAGUUGCAAAUGGGGAACCGAUGGGGCCGGUUAACGUGUGUGGAGACGGAGUGCUCCUACAUGUCGUGUGUUUAGGUUUACCUUGCAAGGUUAAAACUCGAUUCGAAUCGUCUGCUUCUCGCAGAUAAUGAGACUGCUUGACCCCUUGUACUGCAUUGAGCAAAAAGUGAAAUGAGGUUUUACUUGAGAUAACAUGUUGAUUGUAUUAAAUGAUUGUUACCAUGUAUGCUUAGAAAGGAGCAAACAUAGCUUAAGUAAAUAUGGUGGAAUUGGGAAAGCUAAAAUUGUUUUUAGACUCAGCUAGUGCUUUUGGCAAGCCAAACCCCUCAGCCAAACAGCUGCAUGGUCUAGAGUUAGAGGAGUAGACUCCUCACACCGGGUAAGUUUAGCUGAGUAUUAGUAUACUCAGCCUUGCUUGUGGCAUAUAUUUUCAGGUACGCUACAGGAUAUGGUUGACGGUGUGACUUGGCCUUCCACCCUACCACCGGGUUGGACGGUUGAAUGGGAUGUUGCCUCGACAGGAGAGGACCAGAAGGAGUAUUGGGCUAGGCCUUGCCCUAAUCCUCCGUAUCGUCGUUAUCCAUUAUCCGCUGCAUUUUAAUUGUGAACUUGUUCUCUUUUAUUAAAACUCCAACUUAUGCAAUAACUCCAAUACUUUAAUUUGUGGUUUCAUGUUUAUUGUAUUCUCUCUACGACUCACCAUCGUCUGAGCUAAUGGUACUCGAUCCUUGGUAAGUGGCUUUAUCAGACUAGAUCUGAGGGACUGACGGGUUUUUCCGAUUUAAGUGUGUUGCUGCCUCUAAGGCGUGACUUGGGCACUUAACCUAGAAUAAUUCGGGCGGUUCUGCCACAGCUGGUAUCGGAGCGAAUAUCAUUAUAGAGGAAUCAAUAAGUCUUGAAUGCCAACUUUUCAAAAAAUAAAAUUUGCCUAGAAACCAGUGUUGGGUCGUUAGGACUAGAACGCUAGACCUAGGAUGAAAGGCCUUAGGAAUAGUGGAGAAAAUAGGUAGCUAUAUAAGUAGGCCAUAUAGGCAAGUCUUAGAAUAAUAGUGAUGCCCUAGAAGCACCCUCUCUGAUCUGUGAGGAAACAUUCCUUCCAGCAUGCAUGCAUCAUAAAAUAUGAAGAAAUUGGAAGCUAAGGAAAAAUGCAUCUAAGUGUGAAUGUAACAAAUAGGGUUAAUAAUAAAUAACGAAAUGAGUAGAUAAAUCUAAUUUAACCCACCUCCUAUUAACAACCUGGGCACAUGUGUUUUUCCUUUCCACUACCAUAACACUUACAUCUAACCCUCUAUCAUAGAUGACUUCACCCACCCCAUCAAUAGAGGAGACACUCGUUUCAGUUUCGACUACCUUUCUCACGAGGGUUUUCCCUCCAUCUUGUGGGAGGUGCUCUGCUCCGCUGGUUACCCUACACCCCUCUGUACACGGUGCAGUUGUACGAGGAACAUCGCGUGCCACGUUGCCGGUUUGGCUAACUCUGGAGCCUCACCCUCUGCAGCCUGGAUGGCGUUCCCUUGAUUUCGAGACUAUCGGGUUCAGAGCGGACGACACCACCGAGGCCGCAGCACUGAAGACCCUGACAACCUUCUGCGGGUAUCAUCCCUUGGAGAUGGUGAUGCACCCACAGGGACUCUUCCCCACCGAGAAGAGGGAUGACCCCAUGUGGUGCAAUAGAGUGAGCCAUGUGAAGGACGUGUGGGCCAUGCAUCCCGACCAAGUUGGGAGGAUCACUUUUCAAUGUAUGAGCGCGGUGUACCCCGCCUACAAGCCCUGCAGAGUGAUGCUAUGGCACACCUCACUAACCUUGCUCAGACUACUAAGGUCACCCUCGAUAGUCGAAAGGACUUCGUGGUCGACUUGUCUUCGGAAUUGGUGGAAAAGGACCCACAGGUUGAACAGUUGAGCCAGCCCAUCGUGACCCUAGAGCAGCAGGUGGAAAUCCGGGAUAACACCAUCGAUAUCCUGGAGAUCCAGCUCCAUGACAUGCAGGAGGAACUUGAAGAAGCCAAUGACCACCUGGAGAUGCACCACCAGGAUAUGGAGGCAAACGAGGCAGGAAGCGAGGGAGAGGAGGAUCCCGAGAAAUUAGAGCCAGCCCCUGGUCCCAAUGCGACUCCCUUCGGAGUGCCCCUUUACCUGCAUCCAGUGUUGCCUCUACCACUCAGGGUUGAUGGGUUAGUUGACAUAAUAGGGGAUAGGAACCCAUGCGAGCUUAGUUUUGGUACCAAUUUUUGGACUAGGCUUCAGGGUAAAACUCCUAAAUUGUUGUAACCCGGGAAGAACUUUUAUGAGUAAUGAAUGCAAGCAUGUUAUUCUCGUUGGUUUCAAUACUAUGUUAUGAUAUUUUCUUCUCAUAAUAUCAAGGAUUAUGUUGGAACCAUGAGUCGAAAUAACAACGGCGGAAUUUCUAUUUUUAGAUGGCAGCUAGGCAGCGUCGCGGGCAGAACGAGCAGGUUCCCCCGCCGCCUCCUCUAGCUCCCACGGUGCAGGAGCUAAUGGCUCAGCAGAAUGAGAUUCUACGACAGCUAUUGCAGCGCUAGCCCCACCCUCAGUAGUAUGGUGGAGGCCAGCCGCAACGUCGUCCAGCCGCGGCAACCUAUCAAGAGUUCUUGAGCACGCAGCCGCCCUUGUUCACCAAAGCAGAGGAUCUGCUAGACACUGAUGUGUGGCUAAGGGUUGUGGAGUCAAAGUUCUCACUCCUCAUGGGAGCUUGCCCUGAUGACACGAAGACCCGUUUUGCCGCACGGCAGCUUCACGGGCCUGCUAGGACAUGGUGGGACCAUUUCCGUGCCAUAUUACCUGCUGACCAUAUUCCAGUAGGGAUUCUGGAUCGCAAGCUCAACGAGUUCUUGGCUUUGACUCAGGGAACCCGCACUAUGCUACAGUAUGCCCAGGCCUUCAACGACUUAUGCUAGUAUGCAUGCUAUCAUGCAGAUUCAGAUGAGAAGAAGAAAGACCAUUUCCACAGGGGACUCAACACCAAGCUGCGUGAGCGCCUCAACACUGUUCGGGCUGACAACUUCAAUGAACUGGUCAACCUAGCUAUAUCACAAGAAGACUGUAUUGUAGCUCACCGGGUAGAAAAAAAGAGGAAGGCGCCAAUGUUCGGACCCUCAGCUCCACCCUAGGGGUUCCGAAUUGUCUCCAACAGUCAGAGCAGAGGAUUUCAGCAUCAAGUAGGAAGAUGGGUCAUAAGGCCGCCGCAGCAGCAUCAAGCACCCAACAUUUCCCUGUUCCCGCUCCAAGGAACAAUCAGCCUCAGCAGCAGCAGUAGUUCCACCAAGGGAAUGGAAACAAGUGCUUCACGUGUGGCAAUGUGGGCCAUUAUGCCAAGAAUUGCCGAUGGAAUCAGCCAAGGCAGAUGCCAGCCCCCAACCAAGACAAAGGGAGGAAGCAGAAAGUGCAAGUCAGGCAAGGGCAGCUCAACUUCACCACUCUAGAGGAGCUACCUGAAGGAGCACCUAUCAUGAUUGGUACUUUUUCCGUUUUCAAUCAACCUGCAUUAAUUUUGUUUGACUCCGGUGCAUCGCAUAGUUUCAUUAGCUAGAAGUUCAGUGCCAAAUGUCAGUUGCCUUUCUUUCAUACCCAAGGGUCUUUCAUGAUAGCAACGCCUAGGGGCAAAAUUGCAACAAAUCAAUUAAACUGCAGUAUACCUAUCUAGCUGGGAAGCAAGGUGUGCAAAACCACCCUCCUCAUUUUGGGAAUGGAUAAUGUGGAUGUCAUUUUGGGCACUGAUUGGAUGACCCAGCACCAAGUAGUGCUAGAUGUCGCCAAGCGCAUCAUCGAAGUCCAUUCCCCUACCUAUGGAAAGUUCACCUUAUAUCUGCCUAGCCAAGAAACCACUCAGUCAUGUGCUUUUUCCAUGAUAGAGCUUCCCUUGAAGAAAAUUUUAGUGGUCUGUGAGUAUGCAGAUGUUUUUCCUGAUGAGUUGCCCGGAAUGCCGCCAGAUCAGGAUAGCGAGUUUGCCAUCGAAUUGCAACUGGGAACGACACCUAUCUAUAAGAGGCCCUACCGGAUGCCACCCGCUGAGUUGGCAGAAUUGAAGAAGCAGUUGCAAGAAUUGCUCGACAAGGGUUUCAUCCGCCCAAGUACUUCACCUUGGGGAUGUCCAGCCUUGUUCGUGAAGAAGGAUGAAAGCUUGAGAUUAUGUAUAUAUUACCGCCCACUCAAUGCGGUGACUAUCAAAAACAAGUAUCAUUUGCCUCGUAUUGAUGUUCUUUUCGACCAAUUGGUCAGAGCCAAGGUGUUUUCCAAAAUAGAUCUUCGCUUCGGCUAUCAUCAAAUCAAGAUACGAGCAAGUGAUAUUCCAAAGUCUGCCUUCUCAACCAGAUAUGGGCUGUAUGAGUACCUGACGAUGUCGUUUGGGUUGACAAAUGCACCCGCAUACUUCAUGUAUCUGAUGAAUUCAGUCUUCAUGCCUGAACUGGACAAAUUUGUGGUGGUUUUCAUCGACGAUAUCUUGGUGUACUCAAGGAACGAAGAAGAGCAUGCCAGUCAUUCGCAUGUAGUGCUCCAAUGUCUGAGGGAACACCGCCUUUAUGCCAAAUUGUCAAAAUGUGAUUUCUGGCUAAAGGAGAUUAAAUUCUUGGGUCACACUAUCUCUCAAGGUUGCAUAGUUGUUGAUCUCGAUAAGGUGCAAGAGGUGAUGAAUUGGAAGCCACCCACGACUGGUUGUCAGAUUCGGAGUUUUCUAGGAUUGGCCGGGUAUUAUUGACAAUUUAUUCCAGAUUUUUCUCGAAUCGCAAAGCCCAUGACAAAAUUGUUGAAGAAGGGAGCAAAAUUCGAAUGGGGUCAGAAAUGUGAGGAUGUCUUCCACACCUUGAGGCAACAUCUGACCACAACACCUGUGUUAGCAUAGCCUGACAGCAACAAACUGUUCGAUGUGUACUGUGAUGCCUCGGGCACUGGACUAGGUUGUGUUUUAAUGCAAGACAACCGAGUCAUUGCCUAUGCAUCAAGAGCACUCAGACCUCAUGAGCAAAAUUAUCCUACUCAUGAUUUAGAGUUAGCAGUCGUGGUUCAUGCAUUGAAAAUGUGGAGACACUACCUGAUGGGAACACACUGCAACAUCUAUACAGAUAACAAGAGUCUCAAGUACAUCUUUACUCAAGCUGAUCUCAACAUGAGGCUGAGAAGAUGGCUAGAAUUGAUCAAGGACUACGAGUUAGAAUUGCAUUACCACCCGGGGAAAGCUAAUGUGGUUGCAGAUGCCUUAAUUCAAAAGUCACAAUGCAACUGUAUGAUGAUGGAUUCUCGCAUCAAUACCUUGUGCGAUGAGUUGAGUAAGAUGAGUAUCGAAGUAAUUCCUUCUGGUACCUUGUCUCACAUCUUCGUCGAGCCAGCCUUGUCAGACCAGAUUAUUAUGGCCCAACUAGUUGACAAGGGAGUGCAAACCAUUAAAGAGAAUCUUAAUCAGAAAGUGGAGAAGUACAAAUGCUCUCGCCAAGACCGCAAGGGGAUACUGUGGUUUGAAGACAGAUUGGUGGUUCCUAAAAAUAGAGACCUCAAGAAGAGAAUCUUGGAUGAGGCUCAUCUCUCCAAAUUCUCCAUGCACCCAGGAAUCACCAAGAUGUACCAUUAUUUGAAGCCCCAAUAUUGGUGGACCAGAAUGAAAAGGUAGAUAGCCCAAUAUGUAUCGGAAUGUGACACCUGUCAGAGGAUAAAGGCAAGCCACUUAAAAUCAGCUGGUGUCUUGCAACCCCUAUCGAUACCUUCAUGGAAAUGGAAUGACAUCAGCAUGGAUUUCAUUGUGGGUCUGCCCAACACCUGUCGACAUCAUGAUUCAAUUUGGGUCAUUGUGGACCGAUUGACAAAAGUGGCUGAUUUUCUUCUAGUGCACACCACCGACAAGGCUCAUAAGUAUGCAGAGUUGUACAUUGACGGAAUUUUGUGUUUGCACGGAUUACCCCGACAAUUGUCUCUGACCGAGGAGUCCAAUUCAUAGCUAGAUUUUGGGAGCAAUUGCAAGAGUCCUUAGGGACCAAGCUAGUAAGAAGUUUUGCUUACCACCCCAGACUGAUGGUUAGACCGAAAUGGUAAAUCAAAUUCUUGAAGAUAUGCUAAGGGCUUGUGUGAUCAAUUACGGCAAGAACUGGGAUAAGUACCUCUCUUUGGCAGAGUUUGCUUAUAACAACAAUUAUCAGAACAGUCUGAAGAUGGCACCUUUGAAUCCCUAUAUGGAAGGAGGUGUCAAACACCCCUCAACUGGUCACAGCCUGGAGAAAGAGAAAUCUUUGGGCCUGACCUAGUGUCGGAAGCCAAAAGAAAGGUCAAGCUGAUUAGGAAGAACCUAGAAGCUGCUCAGGCCAGGCAAAAGAGUUACCAUGACAAGAGAAGGAAACCCCUCCAGUUUGAAGUGGGAGAUUUCGUAUAUCUAAAAGUAUCGCCCACGAAAGGAGUGCAAAGGUUUGGGAUCAAAGGCAAGUUAGCCCCUCGCUACAUUGGACCUUAUGAAAUCAUGGAAGCAUGUGGACCCGUGGCAUACAAAUUGAAGCUACCUCCAAAAAUGUCUGCCAUCCACAAUGUGUUCCAUGUAUCCCAAUUGAAGAAACGUGUUCGAAUACCAACAGAGGUUGUAGCAGAACCAGAUGUGGAGCUAGAGCCAGAUCUAUCAUACCAAGAGCACCCCUCCAAAGUUCUGGAUUGCAAGGAAAAAUCAACUCAUGCGAGGUCGAUCAAAAUGUAUAAGAUCCAAUGGAGUAACCAUUCGGAGGAAGAAGCUACCUAAGAGACUGAGGAUUUUCUACGCGCGAACUACCCUGAUUGUCUACCUAAGGAAACCGGUACAUAACCAUACCCCAGCCCCCUGCCCUCUGAAUCCAAAUAUAAGAAAGAUGAUCUUAACAUAAACCAAGUUAAGCUAUGAAACAAAAACUAAAAGGACUUCUUUCUGAAGUUGCAAAGAGGAUGACAUUCGAAGAGCAGGUUUCUAAAGAACCUUAAUAAACAACCCACACCAUGAAGGAAAACCGUAACCUUCUCAUCACCCCUAGAGGAUCCCGACCCGAAUCUCAGGACGAGAUUCCUUUAAGGGGGGAAGGCUAUAACACCCAGGUGUUACUUAGGGUUUCUUCUCAGUACUAAUCUCAAGAUCAUUAUCACAUGUAAAUCAAAUUGAGUAAAAGAUACCAAACUUGACGAGCAAAAAGUCAAUUAAGCCUUUUUAUCUCAAGGAUCAUGCCUUAACCAUAUCAUGCACCUCAAAGUGAGAAAAAUGCCAAACCCUAAAAUAACCCUAAUUAAGCCAUUCAAGUGCAAAAGGGGAAAUUUGUAAAAAAGGCAAUGAAAAAUAUGAAAUCAUGGCUUGGGUCAAUUAUAAAACUUGAAAUACACUAAUUAAGCUACAAAAGUUAGUAAGGGAGUUUGGCCAAAAGAAUUUUUCAAAAUCCCCAAAAAGACCAUUCAGGUGGAGGCUUUCUAGAGAAAUCUAAAAUUCAGAUUUCUGAAUUUCAGCCUUUGACCCAAACUCGAGCGCGUUCACCUUAAUCCCUUACUCAAAUCCCUGGGGUCUCAUUAUCAAAUUUGUGCUAAACUAAUCCCUCUACCACAUAUCUGAAGAUGGCAUUGGGAUUCGGACCCUAGACACGACAAAACCGAAGAUUUGCCUCGGGCUCGGGCUGUGAGACAGACCCUACUUGAGAGCUCCAUAUCUUUGAAACCAGUAGGCCAAAUCCUUUGACCCCCACACAUAAUCGGUAGCUUAUAGGAAAGGGAAGAGGUUUUGUGCACUGACCAAGCCAAGAGCAGGCUUGGAAGAGUGACUACUAGCACCAAAACCCGGGCAGAAGAAACGCACACACGUGUUCGACCCUAGUCGGCACGCCGGUGUUCACCCAACCCGCGCGCGCGCUCGCCCCAGCACACGGUCGAGUUCGCCGCGCGCCCGCGCCUAUAAAGGCCAAUGGCCCCUGCUCGACCCUACCUCAGCUUUGCACACUCGCCGCCGACGAACUCCCCCACCUGCGCACAAGGACCGACCAACUCCGGCCAUCUCCGACGCCAACCUGUACCUCGACGUGACCGCCGUAACCUCCCCGACCUCCCUGGACACCUCACCGGAGCUAGAUCACCGUCGAUAAGCCCCGUCGGCCGUCGCCCUUUUCUCCGCCACGGGUACUGUUCCAAUAGGGGUAGGACCACGGGCUAGAUUUAGAUUUACCCCAGGGGAUUUUCUGCAUUGUCAGAGACUCAAUUGAAUAGUAGCCCGAGGACCUGUUUGUAAGAGACGCAGGAAAAGUAUAUCAGGGACCCUAGCACAAAGUCGAUUUUCCUUUUCUAUUUCAAAUUCAAUUCUUUAAAUAUGCAGUAAAUUAGUUAAAUGCAUAACUUAAGGAAUACUCAUCCAAAUUUAGUCAAACAAAUUUUGUUAGGCUCUGUGAUUUAUGCACUAUCAAACAAAAUAGUAAACCUCAUGUUCUCUGUACUAAUUUUUAGAGUUUUGAAUUAAAUUAGAAAACUGUCCAAACCUUAUUAAUACAGAGAAAAAUAAAAAUACUUCUAUACUGGACUGGAGAAAAUUGUAGAGACACUUACCUAGCGUAUACACUGUUUAAAAAUAAUGAACACCCUAGUAUAAAAAAAUGGACCAGAGAUAUCCAUUAAAGGCUAUUUCUGCCCAAACUUUAGAAAAAUGAAAAAGGGGAUAGAAAAUAAAAACCAGAGAGUGACCAUAUUUUUCCUAGAAUGCCUAAGUGGUAUAGGUCACAAGAAAAAUAUAUGGAACCCUAGUCUAGUGCUAAUCUAAGAUUAUAAUUUUAUUUAGGCAUUAAGAAGUCAACAAAGGCCAUAGUUAAAAAUAUAUGAGCACAUGCAAUAUUUGCAAGAAAAAUUCAGUAGACAUCUAACCACUAGUAUACCACUUCAAAAAUGGUAAAAACACCAAACCAUCACAGUAAGUGGGUUAAACAAGUGAAACUUGGAUUUAGCCAAUACUUCAAAUAAAUCAAAAGAAAGACUAAAAUGUGAAACAGUGAGCAACCCAAAUUUUACCUAAAUACUUAUGAUGUAAACCACCAGAGAAAAUAUGAAACUAAGAUAGAAAUAUGAUGUAAUACACCCCACUCCCAACCCAUGAAAAGUACCAUAUAUUCCAAGAAAUUCUACCACCCUUUCCCUUUGAGCAAAAUUAACCAACUUAAGGAAUGAUUGCUCUUACGCAAAGAGGAAGAUAGAAAAGUUAGGAAAUCUGUUGUUUGAAAUUUUUCAAAUAUAGUAGUUGUUGGGGGACUGCUUCGUCGCCGAAGGUCCUUUAAGAAGAAACACCUUCGGAAGAUCAGCACAUAAGCAAAUACAGCACGAAGGUACUCGCCGAAGCUACCAUCCAGGGAGCUUCGACAUAGCGACAUGCCUUGAGACGAAGGGCUGCACCGACUUAAAGAAGAAAAGACCAAUCGGUCCAUGAUAAUUUGUGUUAUAAUUGUAACUAGUUGUCGAGGACAUAAAUGUAAUUUUGAUCGGGUUGUGUCCCGUGCCUAUAAAUACGUGAACAGUACCCCUGUACUGUUCACAAUGGCUUGUAUUCGCUCGUGCGUCACGCUUGGAUUUUUGCCUUCUGUCAAGCCGAAGGUAUAAAUGUAAUUCAAUAUUGUUCUUAUUCAUCCAUGAUAAGAUAAAAAAAGAUAUAUUAAUGAUGUCAUAUGAUUAUUCAUGUUAUUUCUCAUAUUUCAUAUGCUUCAUCUUUCAUUAAUUUAUACUGUGAUGAUGAAGGUACGUCCUUCAUGACCUUCAUCCGAAGAUCGUUAUAUCCUAAGGGAAAUAAUGCUUCGAAGGACGAAGGACAUUAACCAUUAACCUCCUUUUGUGUUUCCUUGUUCUUAACUCAUAGCAUUUGAGAACAAGUCCCCAACAUUGGCACCCACCUCCGGUGAACUCACUUCCACUUUUGAGCUGAUGGCUUCAUUCAACAACCAAGUCAACUUCUCCCAGGAGGACCUUCAGCUCAAAGAUUACCCUCACAAUGAUGAUAUGGUCAUAUCUUAUGUCAUCAAGGGAUUUCUGGUCCAUAAUGUUCUGGUUGAUACAGGCAGUGCAGCGGAUAUCAUAUUUGCUAAGGCCUUCAGACAGAUGCAAGAGCCAGAAGACAAGAUUCAUGAUGCUACACACCCUAUUUGUGGCCUCGGAGGAAGGCAGAUUGUAGCACUCGGCAAAAUCACAAUGCCAGUGACCUUCGGCUUCGUCCACAACACAAGGACUGAACAGGUUGUCUUUGACAUUAUUGACAUGGAGUACCCCUAUAAUGCAAUCAUUGGUCGAGGCACACUUAAUGCCUUAGAAGCAAUACUUCAUCUAGCAUAUUUAUGCAUGAAGAUACCUUUGGAACAAGGGCCCAUUGUUGUCCAUGAGAGUCAAGAAGCUGCCAGAAGGGCUGAAGGAAACUGGACAGAUUCAAAGGCAAUUCAUAAUAUAGAUGGAGCUGAAGCCUGUCAGAAGUAUAAAUACAAAAGGGAGAAGGCUGCUUCGGUGGAUCAGCUGAAGCCAAUGCUCCUAUGUGAAGACAUAGCAGAACAAAGGGUACUGUUGGGGUCUCAGCUGUCUGAAGAGCAAGAGAAGACUUUGCUAAGAUUUUUAUUCAACAACAAAGAUGUAUUUGCUUGGUUAGCCAAUGAUCUCUGUGGUGUCAAAAGAGAUGUCAUUGAACAUUCAGUCAAUGUGGAUCCAUCUUUCAGGCCAAGAAAACAAAGGCUUCGAAAGAUAUCUGAAGACAAAGCUGAAGGUGCUCGGAACGAAGUGAAGAGACUUCUUAGUGCUGGUGUCAUCAGAGAAGUGAAAUACCCAGAAUGGCUAGCCAAGACUAUUAUGGUGAAGAAGGCCAAUGGUAAAUGGAGAAUGUGCAUUGAUUUCACAGAUCUCAACAAGGCUUGUCCAAAGGACGAGUUCGCAUUGCCAAGAAUAGACUCUCUAGUAGAUGCAGCAGCUUCUUUAGAGCUCAUGAGUCUGUUGGAUUGUUACUCAGGCUACCAUCAAAUUUGGAUGAAGAAGGAAGACGAGCCGAAGACUAGCUUCAUAACCCCUAGUGGUACCUAUUGCUAUCUUUGGAUGCCUAGGGGGCUUAAAAAUGCUGGAGGAAGCUUCAGCAGAAUGACAGCCAAGGUCCUUCAUUCUCAAAUAGACAGGAAUGUACUGACCUAUGUUGAUGAUAUCAUAGUGAAAAGCACGAAUCAAGAAAAUCACAUCGCUGAUUUGCAAGAGACAUUUGCCAAUUUCAGGCAAGCUGGCCUGAAGUUAAAUCUAGAAAAGUGUGUUUUUGGGGUGAAGAAGGGCAAGUUCCUUGGCUGUUUAGUAUCAACGAAAGGAAUUGAAGCUAACCUGAGCAAGAUCGAAGCUAUCCUACGGAUGGAGCCACCAAGCACAAAGAAGGGGGCCCAACGGCUGGUUGGAAGACUAGCAUCAUUGAACAGAUUCAUAUCCAGAUCAGCAGAAAGAAAUCUACCAUUCUUUGAAAUACUGAAGUCAGCCGAAGUUUUUCAAUGGGGUCUGGCUCAACAAAAAGCUUUCGAAGAGUUGAAACAAUACUUGAUUGAUCUAACGACAUUAACUCCACCUUCGCCAAGGGCUCCAUUAGUCUUAUAUGUGGCAGCUUCGCACUCUGCAGUUAGUGCGGCUCUUGUACAGGAGAAGCUAGAUGGCCAAAUCAAAAAGCAGGCUCCAGUGUACUUCGUCUCCGAAGUUUUAAGUUUAUCAAAGAAAAAUUAUACAUAAUUGGAGAAAGUGUUAUAUGCUGUGUUAAUGGCUUCCAGGAAGCUUCAGCAUUAAUUUAGAAAGCACCACUAGGCCCUAAAAGUUUAGAAAAUCCCCAUAAAAUGACCAGUAGGUAUCAUUGGCUAAAAUUUGGUACAAAGUCUUAUUAUUAUUCCUAGAUACCAGCAAAAAUAAACCAUAGAGAAAAAUCCACUGUUAGAAGAGAGUUGUAGUUCAAAGCACCCCCUCUACCCUAAAUUUUAAUAUUUUUGUACAUAGAAAACCAUUAUCAUUUUAAGCCUAAAUUUUUGAGAUUGAGUUAUGCAAACCAGUGAGAAGCCACUGUAAUUUUUUUGUCACACCUGGGUUUUAGGGGUCCAAAACUAUGGCGCAAAAUAAACACCAGGUGUGCUGGGACAAAGUCUCACACAUAUGAUGAAUAGUGGUACAGAAACGAAUGUCACAUCUUUACUAUAUAAUAAGAGUUCUGUACAAAAUAAAUAAAUAAUUACAUCAUUAGGAGACAACGAUCUAGCAACCCAAAGUUGACUGGGAGACGACGACUUAGACCUCUCACGAACUCGCCACAUCAUCCUCCAUGCGCCUCAUCCUGGGGUUCCUUUUCUUGACCAGUGAGAGGGGUGUGAGACAGCAAGAGUGAGCUCACAAACUGUAACACCUCAAAUCCAUCAAUUAAAAUAAUACAUUAUUAGCUGCUAAACUAAGUAGAGAGUAAAUUAAAAAAAAUAUCAAGUGUUUGAAUGCAUUCAUUAUCGAUGCAUGAUUUCUUUGUUUGUUAAUGAAUUACAACACCUUUCUUUUAAUUUAUCCUCUUUGUGAAGCUCCAUUUACUUAAAUUGUCUAAAAGCUUAUUUAUAAUAUAUAUUAUUUAGUAAAAUAAUGUUAUUAGAUUUAUUAUACUUUUUGGAAUAUUUAAAAUAUAGUUAUUUAUGAAUAAUCUAAUGUUUUUUUAAAAAAAAGAGAAUGAAUUUUCGAAAUUAAAAAAAAGAGAAAAAAAAAACAAAAACAACAUGCGUGAUCACCAUCCCUAGCCGAUCGGUCCAGUUACCACCGUCACAUACACAUUCGACAUUCCCCUCCCUCCCCUCCUUUCUACCUAUGACUAGUGGGCCCCACCAUUCCAAUUCUCAAGCUUUGAAAACCAGCCAUCUCACUUACGUACGUGACCUCCUCUCUCUAUUCCUUACGUGUGGACCCCACCCAAAUCCAUGUUUCUCACCUUUCCUCUGUUCUUCUCUCGCUCGCAGGAUUUGGACCAGCGCGCCGCCACCAGUUCAACACAGUGUUCGUGCUUGCACCUGCUGUCCCGGCUCCUGCUGUCCCCCUGCCGUAUUGUAUUCAGUGGAGCACGUGCCUGACUCCUCCUAUGCCGCAAACCGCCUGUCACCACCCGUUGCCGCAGCGCACACUACGACGUGAGAGGAGAGCGGGUUUUCUUGUGCGAGGGGAAGAACUCUUUCCAGGUCUUCACGAUUUCUUUCAUAUAUUUCCUGUCUCUUACAGCCACAGUAGCCGGCUAGAUAUAUGCUUGGCUCACACACACUGACAUAGAGGUCCCACACUUAUUACAACACGAGUUUAUAAGUCUAUGUGUGUAUACGGCUCCCCAACUCUCUCCUGGACACCUCUAGGCGUGACAUCACCCCGCACCGGGAGAAGUUGCUUGUCCCCAAGCAACCGCAUCGGGAAACUGCUUGGUGACAACAUAGUAGUCCUCCCAUGUUGCUGCAUCCUCUGGAAGCGAAGUCCACUUGAUCAAUACUUGUGGGACAGCGGUGUUGCCUUUGCGCACAAGCCGACGUUGAAGAAUUGCUUCGGGCACCACCGGUUCUUGAUCCAAGUCGGCGAGGGUAGGCAGAUCCUUGUAGACAGGAGUGAAGUCCGGAGUGAAUGGCUUAAGCUGUGAGACAUGAAACACCGGGUGAAUAGAAGAUGAUGCUGGUAGCUCAAGCUUGUACGCUGCUGCACCAAUCCGGGCCAGCACCGUAUAAGGACCAUAAAAUCGAAACGCCAAUUUGGGACAUGGACGAUCCACCAGUGAAGUUUGCAUGUACGGCUGAAGCUUUAAUAGCACUUGCUCACCCACUGCAAACUGACGGUCUGAAUGUUUGCGAUCAGCCUGCAACUUCAUGCGGUUAUGUGCGACGGCCAACAUCUGCUUGAGCAAAGUGGUGUGGGCUUGCUGCUCCUGAAUCCACUGAUCAACGGAAGGAUGAGAUGGGCAUGCAGUGGUUGGUAGAGCAGUGAGUGGUGGAUCAUAACCAUACAAUGCUUUGAAUGGGGAACAGCCGAGGCCCGAGUGAAGAGAAGAAUUGUACCAAAACUGCGCGAGAGGCAGCCACUUACGCCACUGUUUAGGGGAAUGAUGCACUGAACAGCGAAGAUACAUCUCCAAACAUUGGUUGACACGUUCACUCUGCCCAUCCGUUUGCGGAUGAUAACUGGUGCUCAGACACAGUUUGGUAUCCCAUAAGCGAAACAAUUCCUUCCAAAAGAGUGAGGUAAAAAUCUUGUCACGGUCCGAGACAAUUGACUUGGGCAAUCCAUGGUGAACAACCACAUUAUCCAAAAUAGCUCGAGCAACAUGUGGGGCUGUGAAGGGAUGUUUGAGGGGAAUGAAAUGAGAGUACUUGGU